This 1483-nucleotide long non-coding RNA is filed under the name Selaginella moellendorffii. Its description in RNAcentral is "long non-coding RNA (SMOE_LNC002368)". Lineage: Eukaryota; Viridiplantae; Streptophyta; Lycopodiopsida; Selaginellales; Selaginellaceae. The record is from RNAcentral.
UACAAAUCCCCUCCUCCUCCUUCGCCGGUCUACUAUUACAAAUCCCCGCCUCCACCACCAUACUAUUACAAGUCCCCACCUCCACCUCCGCCUAAGUAUUACUACAAGUCGCCCCCACCACCGUCUCCAUACUAUUACAAAUCCCCGCCCCCUCCACCGUACUAUUACAAAUCCCCACCACCACCUCCCUACAAAUACGAAUCGCCGCCGCCUCCUCCUUACAAAUACGAGUCCCCACCUCCACCACCUUACUAUUACAAGUCCCCACCACCACCUCCAUACAAAUAUGAAUCCCCGCCACCUCCAGUCUACAAAUAUGAGUCUCCGCCACCCCCAGUUUACAAAUACAAGUCGCCACCACCACCAUACAAGUACGAGUCACCACCACCACCUCCAUACAAGUAUGAAUCCCCGCCACCUCCACCUUAUUACUACAAGUCCCCUCCACCACCACCAUACAAGUACGAGUCGCCACCACCUCCUCCGUACAAGUAUGAAUCUCCACCACCACCAGUUUACAAAUACAAGUCACCUCCGCCGCCACCUUAUUACUACAAAUCCCCACCGCCACCUCCAUACAAGUACGAGUCUCCACCUCCUCCUCCGUACAAGUAUGAAUCUCCACCACCACCACCUUAUUACUACAAAUCCCCCCCGCCACCUCCAUACAAGUACGAGUCACCGCCUCCUCCUCCGUACAAGUAUGAAUCUCCACCACCGCCAGUUUACAAAUACAAGUCACCCCCGCCACCACCUUAUUACUACAAAUCCCCGCCACCACCUCCAUACAAGUACGAGUCUCCACCUCCUCCUCCGUACAAGUAUGAAUCUCCACCACCACCUCCUUAUUACUACAAAUCCCCGCCGCCACCUCCCUACAAGUAUGAAUCCCCGCCACCACCUCCCUACAAAUACGAGUCACCUCCACCACCACCUUACUAUUACAAAUCUCCUCCACCGCCUCCAUACAAGUAUGAGUCGCCACCACCACCAGUCUACAAAUACGAGUCUCCGCCACCCCCAGUUUACAAAUACAAGUCGCCCCCUCCACCUUAUUACUACAAGUCUCCGCCACCCCCGCCAUACAAAUAUGAAUCCCCACCUCCACCUCCCUACAAGUAUGAAUCGCCUCCUCCUCCACCUUACUACUACAAGUCCCCUCCACCACCUCCCUACAAAUAUGAAUCCCCGCCACCACCUCCCUAUAAAUACGAGUCACCACCACCACCACCUUACUAUUACAAAUCUCCUCCACCGCCUCCAUACAAGUAUGAGUCGCCACCACCACCUCCCUACAAAUACGAGUCACCACCACCACCACCUUACAAGUAUGAAUCCCCACCUCCACCUCCGUACAAGUAUGAAUCACCUCCACCGCCUCCAUACAAGUAUGAAUCCCCUCCUCCACCUCCCUACAAAUACGAGUCACCACCCCCACCACCUUAUUACUACAAAUCGCCUCCGCCACCGGAGUAUCAAUCAC